AUGCUGAAGUUAGAGAGAGAACGACUUAGCAACCAGAUCACUGUGGCUGAUGAAACUUAUUCAAAAGAGAAACAAACUUUGGUAGAAAAAAUAGUUGAACUGAAGAGAAGAAAGGAACAAAAGGACAGAGAAGUCUCUGUAAAAGAAAUGGAGAUAUUACAAGCUAAGCAAGAACUGGAACAGCAACAAAUGUGCUUGAGUAAUAGACAACAGGCUAUUAUUGAGUUGAAAGGAAAGGUGAAGCAACAGGUGGAACUGCAGAAGGAAGUGAAGUUUCAGCUUUCUGAAAAGAGAAGGGAGUUCUUGAAAGUGCAGUCUGCUGUGCAUGAAAUAGAAAAUAAAAUCUUCAGGAAAACAGCAGCAAUGCAAGAACACAUUACUCAUGAACUACGGAAUGAGAUAUCUAUUCUUCAUCAACAAGUACGUGAGAGAGAGCUAUUAGCAGAACAGGAUCGGCUGUUAAGAAGCAAAAUGGUGGAUGAUUAUGCAACUUUGACCAAGGAGAAUGCCAUGAUGCAAUCCAGGCUCUUGGAACUUAACAAGCAAAGAGAGAUAGAGAGAGUACUCAAGGAGGAGAGCUAUACAGCCCUUUCUGCUGGUAUCAUGCAGUUCCUUGCAGUAAAAGAUCAUGAAAAUCAUCUGAAGGAAGAGAUUCAGAGGUACCAAGAACUCCUGGAGCAGGAAGAGAGUACCUUCCGAGACCUUCAAGAUAAGCUUGCUGAGAAAGAAAAUUUCCUACAGGCAUCCAUUAAGAUGUUGCAGCUGGAUGAAGCAAUGUCAGCAUUAAGAAUAAAACAUGCAUUUUGUUCAUCUAGUCCAUCAGAAAAAUGGGAUGAAAUCUCCAAAAUGACAAAGUCAAUGAAGAAUCUCAAAUAA
RNAcentral lists this long non-coding RNA (876 nucleotides) under Pogona vitticeps (central bearded dragon). RNAcentral describes it as "lncRNA (ENSPVIG00000023022.1)". The record is from RNAcentral. Lineage: Eukaryota; Metazoa; Chordata; Lepidosauria; Squamata; Agamidae.